CCCUGGUGGGGAUUCCGGUCUGAGUCAGCAGAUGUGGCCUGGGAGCUGGGUUCUGCCCAGGUCCGCUCAGGGCCGGUGCCACGCCCCAGGGAGGGGCCUGGGCGAGCCCUCAGAGGGCCCUUGUUGUGCCAGGCUUGGGAGGGCAGGGUACUGGGCCAGCGCGCCCGCCCGUGUGGGCUCCGCUCAGCCAAAGGCUUGCUCAUGGGGUCCUCCCACCCCCGGUGGGGAGGGCCUUCAGAGCAUCUGGCAGUGGCCACACGGGCAUCUCCUUGUCCAACAGGCACUUUCAGAAGUGCCAGCUCCUGGGAGUGCCGGCCUGACGGUCACCCACACUGUGCCAACCUGAGCUGCAGGGAGGCUGAGAGAAGGCCUAGGGGUGUGGGCAGAGCAGCAGGCCUGGGCCCUGUGGGCCAGGGAUCAACAGGGCACCCCAGACACCUGGCCCACAGCACAGCCCUGCCCACGUCCCCUGAAUAGAAGCUCAGGCCACAGCUGAGUGGCCUCCAGGAAAGCCCUGUCCUCAGAGGACCCUGGUGCUAGAACCGACCAGUUAACCCAACUCUUGCUGAGUUACAGAACUUGGUCAGGAGAAGUGUCCUUCCCAUCCCAGACCUGCAGCCCAGGGCCUCUGGGUCCCUCAGACGCUGCUCAGUGAAUGAACAUGCUCUGUGUAUACAUGGGGGUCACUUGCACAGCGUUGCCUCGUGUGGCCUUCAUAGGAGAGCACCAGGCCUGAUUCGCAGAGGAGCCCGAGGCUCGGGGCCCUCCAGCCAGCCUGUGACAGCACAGAGGAGCUACUCCUGCAGCCAGGCUCUCUGCCCUGUGAGACCCCAGCCCAGCCUAAGCCAGGGCCAGCGUCACAGGAAGGAAGCUCCUCCGUCCCCUGGCCUCCUUGGGGGUCCCUUCCCUGUCCCAUCCUGUCACUUGGGGCAGCCCUGUGGUAGCAUUUGGGCCUGUUGUCCCAGGCUGCUGCUCCCAGCCGGAACCCAGGGGCUGUUACUGCUGUCCUUUGGGUCCUAGAGCCCAGGGCAGUGCAGAACCGCCGCCCGGGCCUCCGUGAGAAACAGGCUUCUGGAUCAGCCCUCAGCGUCUGCUGGGAGCAGAAGGGAUCCCCGAGGGUCCCCGAGCCAAGGCCCCUCCGCAGCGCAGGCCUGUACUGUCGGAAGGUCCUGCCGAGCUGAGCCCGCCUUUCCCAGUGUCCCUGCAAGGCUGGUGUCUUCGUGGCUUCACCCACACAUCUCAGCAGAUGGACCGCAGAGCAGCUCUGCGAAGACAGCUGUCUCCUAUUAGGCCAGACAGUGAGAUCGCCCUGGUAGGGCAGGCCAGGCUCCUAGGGCUUUUAUUUUGAAAAGUAGCUGCUUUUUAUAAGACAUUAUGUUGUUCAUGCUAACAUGUAGUAGCUGAAUUAUGUUCUUUUCAAGUGAAUUAAUAAGUAUUGUGAGCACCUAUUUAGAAUAUGGUAAGCUCCACAGACAGGCCCACACCCACAAGUGCUCCUGGUCCUGAGGUCAACCCUGUGGGGACUCCUGCCGAGGCUCAACACGGAAAUGCUAAGAGGAUUCUGAAGCCCAGAUGUCUUCUGUCCAGACUUGACAGCCCCCUCUGACGGGCAGGGCGGGCUUGGGGAUUGAGCAAGACGCCUCGCCUCGCCUCACUUCCCAGCUCCCAACAGGGUUCUGUAAACAUCUUGCUGACACGGGCAGCAACAACCUGCAGACUGUCUGCCUGUCUCCAAGGAGGGCAAGCCGGAGAGGCCCAUGCCAGCCUUCCUCCUGUCAGGUUGUGAAUGGGGCCGUUCAGGUCGUACCUGUGGGCAAGGUAUGAACAGGCGCCUCUGUGGCCCCUGGCCCUGAGCUCCCUGACUCUGAGUGCACAGCUGCUCACAGCACCACCCGGGGAGCCCGGGGAGGCGGG
Molecule: long non-coding RNA, 1914 nt
Organism: Marmota monax (woodchuck)
Lineage: Eukaryota; Metazoa; Chordata; Mammalia; Rodentia; Sciuridae
Exons: 3
Source: RefSeq, a predicted model, not a curated record